GACAUCAAGAACAAGAAAGAAGAACAAGGCCUAAAUAUCACAAAAUCUGCCAAAUUGGAAGGGCAAUUGAGGGUUAAAUGGAUGCAUGAACUAAGAUUUAUAAUCAUUUAAGUGUUCUUAACACCAAAAAGAUGAAGUUUAGUGAAUGGCAAGGACUCAAGCACGGAUGGCUAACGAGUCAAAAGAAGGCAAGAAGACGAGCUCGAACAUGGAUGCAUACGGUAAGUGAAUUCCGGAACCUCACUUCUUAAUACAUAAUUAAAGUCUGUUGUAUGAAGGUUAGGUGUCAUGUAGUAUGUUGCUUAUAGUAAAUGGGAAAGAAUGUUGUAGUAUGUUGCUUAUAGUUCAAAAUCAACGGAAAGUGCAUGGUGAAUUCAAAUGGGUCAUAACGCGGAAAGUAAUUUAGUGUUAUGUAAAAGUUAAUUUGAUUUUAUUAUUAAGAAAUUAGAAGGAUAUGGGACUUGAAUAUGGAUAAUUACGUCAUGGAAAUAUGAAAACGGGAAAGAAAGAAGUUCGAAGGCCUAACGGUUGUUUGCAAAAGUAAAUAAAAAACAUAAGUUGCUGAACUGGGCUCUACCGUAGCUACCGUAAGCUACGAUAGGUGGUGAUGCCACUACUUCCAAUGUAAGACAAUCAACCCACACCGUAGGGAAAUUCCCAACCACCGUAAGCUACGGUGGAUACCGUAGGUUACGGUGGGGUUCCACCAACAAAGUUGUUUCUUCGUUUUUCUUCGAUUUCGGACCCCGUGAACCCGUUCCAAGCUCCAUUAUACAUCCAUAUGGUACCUCAAUCUUACUAAAUGGUUUUUGUGAAGUAUGGAUGAGUAUUGAAUUCAUCUUUUGGAUUCAGAAAUGUAACCGAAAGUCAUUAAAAAGCGAUUAUAAGGUAUGAGUAAGAAAGGGGCGUGUAAGUGAGUAUGCGUGGGUACAAAAUAAGUAUAUGGGCAUGUACGUAUAGAUUUAAUUGCCUUUGAGUAGAUGGAACCUUUAAGUAAGCAUGUAUAGAAAUGGGUGUGCAUGUAAGUUGUUAUUUACAUGACUUAUAUGUAUGGUAGCAUGUAACUAAGACUUGUUCACUUAAACAUGUAAGAAUGUAAACUGUAAGUAAGAGUUUAUAAAGAGUGGUAAUUGUAUGAAGUAAAAAUUAUUAUACAUGAAUGGUUUGGAUUAGAUAAGAUGUAUGCGCAUUACUGAACCAUGGGUAUUUGAACGUGUGAACUCUCAUAUGAAACUUGUAAGUGUUUGUGGGGUUGAUAUACAUCAGUAUUAAUGAUGUUAACCGGGUUGCUUUUGAGGUUGAAAUGAAGUGCAGGUACAUUAUUGUUGACUCACUAAAAAUUAGAUACCAAGAUGAAAUGCUGGAAUUCAGAAGGAUAAAUGAAUGGAAUGCAUAUCAGAAUAUAAUGAGAUGAGAUCCAUAAUUAUGAAUCUUAGAAAUAUAGUUAUAUAUAUGUAAGGUUUACUAAUGAUGCGAAUGUAUGUGGUGAGCGCAGGUUGCACAGAAUUAUGGAUUAUCAGCAUGAAGGACAAGAGAUUUAAAGAUCGAGUUAGAGAUGCAUGGAGUGUACGGAAUGGGUGAUCAUUUAAUUUUAUUAGUAUGUUAUAUUUGAUUUACAAAAUGAAGGAUGAAUGAUGCAAUUCUUCUAACUAAGUUGUUUUAAAUGAUUGAAAAGUAUGAAACGAUAUU
RNAcentral lists this long non-coding RNA (1689 nucleotides) under Helianthus annuus (common sunflower). Its description in RNAcentral is "hypothetical non coding rna". Lineage: Eukaryota; Viridiplantae; Streptophyta; Magnoliopsida; Asterales; Asteraceae. The record is from RNAcentral.